CGUGCGCCAAGCCUUGAUUUGCCCGAUUUUUAUUUUAUUUGCGGGAAAGGGUGAUACAGGUUUUAUGCAGGGAAAGAUGACGACGCUCAUGGCAGUUGAGGGAGAAUUUUGCCUAAUUUUUGGCAAUUGAUUUUGCUUCUCCUAUCAUAUCACUGGGUUCCUAAGUCACCAAUGUAGUGGGAAAUGAUGAGUUCUAUCCUUUGCUGUGAUGACGAGUGGGAAUUUGAGGUCGUAACCUCAAUGUACCUCUUUUAUUAGGAAGAAACUACAUGUAUAUUCCCUAUUUUUCUAAUUUCGUCGACUCGAGUCGAGAAGUAGACGAAUUGCAGCUGCCAGAAGCCGCGGACACGAGGCAGUCAUUAGAAACCUCAGUAUGUCCGUGGCAAGCUAGUCGUGUGACAUUGAAGCGCAUCGCUGGGCGGAAAGAGCAUCAUGCAAGGGCCUGUUGCGUGUUGCACCCUCUCCGUAGCAACAGGAUACCACGUUUUUUCACAUUCGGGUAUACAACUUCAAUGUGCUCUGCCAACACUUCCAUUAUCUGGCUGAGAAGCCAUUUUGCUGGUUUGUGUGAGCCUGUGGCAGCGUGGUGCAUGAAGUGCAGUGUGACCAACAAAACUGCACUCUUUGAGAGCAGUUGCUCUCCAGCAAGCACGAGUGUUGCUGCUAGAGCCGUGUGUAUGCCCCGCUGUGCUAUAACAAUGGCAUUCAAUUGGUAAUCUGUGCUUGCGUAGCCGUCUACUGUAACCAAGGCCAGGUGUGCAUUGUAGCACUUGGUACAGUAGACGGCGUCCUCUGAAACAGUGAUGCCCUCAUCCUUCAGCUUUGCUGCCACAACCUGGUAAUUUGCAGCCUUCCGCAAUGGCUCUAGCUCCAUUGGCGCAUGGCAAUCGCCA
Molecule: long non-coding RNA, 893 nt
Organism: Sycon ciliatum
Lineage: Eukaryota; Metazoa; Porifera; Calcarea; Leucosolenida; Sycettidae
Exons: 2
Source: RefSeq, a predicted model, not a curated record